RNAcentral lists this ribosomal RNA (679 nucleotides) under uncultured anaerobic ammonium-oxidizing bacterium. RNAcentral's name for it is "bacterial SSU rRNA". It matches the Rfam family "Bacterial small subunit ribosomal RNA", at positions 585 to 1254 of the family's 1533-position model. The record is from RNAcentral.
AAGUCAGGUGUGAAAGCCUUCUGUUCAAAGGAAGAACGGCAUCUGAAACUGCAGAUCUUGAGUGUAGGAGGGGAGAGUGGAACUUCUGGUGGAGCGGUGAAAUGCGUAGAUAUCAGAAGGAACGUCGGCGGCGAAAGCGACUCUCUGGCCUAUUACUGACACUGAGGUGCGAAAGUUAGGGGAGCAAACGGGAUUAGAUACCCCGGUAGUCCUAACCGUAAACGAUGGGCACUAAGUAGAGGGAAUUACCAAUGUUCUCUCUGCCGUAGCUAACGCAUUAAGUGCCCCGCCUGGGGAGUACGGCCGCAAGGCUAAAACUCAAAAGAAUUGACGGGGGCUCGCACAAGCGGUGGAGCAUGUGGCUUAAUUCGAUGCAACGCGAAAAACCUUACCGGGGUUUGACAUGGUAGAAGUAGGAGCCCGAAAGGGCAACCAACGGUAUCCAAUCCGUAACUAUCACAGGUGUUGCAUGGCUGUCGUCAGCUCGUGUCGUGAGACGUUGGGUUAAGUCCCCUAACGAGCGAAACCCUUGUUUUUAGUUACCAUCGGGUAAUGCCGAGUACUCUAAAAAGACUGCCGUCGUCAAGACGGAGGAAGGUGGGGAUGACGUCAAGUCAUCAUGGCCCUUAUACCCCGGGCUGCACACGUGCUACAAUGGUCGGUACAAAAGGAAGCAAGA